Molecule: transfer RNA, 66 nt
Filed under: Trigomphus carus
Lineage: Eukaryota; Metazoa; Arthropoda; Insecta; Odonata; Gomphidae
Description: tRNA-Pro
Source: RNAcentral
CAGAGAAUAGUUUAAAUAAAAUAUUAAUUUUGGAGAUUAAAGAUAAAUUAAUUAAUUUUUCUCUGA